Long non-coding RNA from Capsicum annuum, 657 nucleotides. RefSeq lists it as uncharacterized. The record is from RefSeq and is a predicted model, not a curated record. Lineage: Eukaryota; Viridiplantae; Streptophyta; Magnoliopsida; Solanales; Solanaceae. The transcript is spliced from 3 exons.
AUUAGAAGAAAUUUGAUAUGUCUAAAGUAUUAUAUCUCUUUUUUUGGGAAAAAAUUUUAAAUUUUAUUAAUUAAUAAUGAUUAACACAUGACAUUGAACCCAACACCUUAUUAGUCCACACCAAACAAACAAAAAAAAAAGAAAAAACUCAACUCCCUUCCUCGGUCCAACUCGGUAACCCGAGUCCACCCCUAUCAUUACGUAUACCCUUUGUAGGGUUUGUAAAAGGAAACACUUGGCUUUCCUUUUCUUCACCCUUACCAGCUGAAAAAAUGUUGCCGCCGCAUGUCAACACUAGGCUCAUCGCCCUUCUUCAUUGGAUAAUUAACCUUCAUGAUCGCCAUCUUCUUGUUGUUGCUUUAUUAUUUCUCAAGAUUGUGCUCUCUCGUGGAUAAUGUAGGUUCACUAGAAAAUAACACAGGAUCUCGUCUCCUACUACCUUGUCUAUCAACUGGUGAGCUAAGAUGGAGUUGUAACGGCCUGAAAAUUUGAUAAAAUAUGUGAAAUUUGUGAUUUUAUGUAUUUGAUUGUUUUAUCCCUCCCAUAGUUGCAUUGUAGUAUUUUUGGGAUAUGUGAGUGAUUGACACGAUUCCCGAUGCAUUUUGAUAUCUUUAAUGUGAUACUGUGAUUUUUGAUGGCUUAGAGAGCCUUAUUUUA